AGUGAACGCUGGCGGUAGGCCUAACACAUGCAAGUCGAACGGCAGCACAGUAAGAGCUUGCUCUUACGGGUGGCGAGUGGCGGACGGGUGAGGAAUACAUCGGAAUCUACUUUUUCGUGGGGGAUAACGUAGGGAAACUUACGCUAAUACCGCAUACGACCUACGGGUGAAAGCAGGGGAUCUUCGGACCUUGCGCGAUUGAAUGAGCCGAUGUCGGAUUAGCUAGUUGGCGGGGUAAAGGCCCACCAAGGCGACGAUCCGUAGCUGGUCUGAGAGGAUGAUCAGCCACGCUGGAACUGAGACACGGUCCAGACUCCUACGGGGGGCAGCAGUGGGGAAUAUUGGGCAAUGGGCGCAAGCCUGAUCCAGCCAUACCGCGUGGGUGAAGAAGGCCUUCGGGUUGUAAAGCCCUUUUGUUGGGAAAGAAAGGCAGCAGGUUAAUACCCCGCUGUUCUGACGGUACCCAAAGAAUAAGCACCGGCUAACUUCGU
RNAcentral lists this ribosomal RNA (491 nucleotides) under uncultured bacterium. Its description in RNAcentral is "partial 16S ribosomal RNA". It matches the Rfam family "Bacterial small subunit ribosomal RNA", at positions 29 to 506 of the family's 1533-position model. The record is from RNAcentral.